CUUCCUCCCCGUGGCCUCCUCCUCCCCGUGCUCGCCCCUCCUGGCGUCCCCUCCCCAUCCGAGGCCUUUCGAAGCCUCCCCGGGUGCCAGCCUCCCCGGGGCGACCUCCCGGCCUCCCUUUUUCCCCCCUCCCCCCCCAGGAGCACAAGGCCGCGGUGACGGCGCUGGAGCGGCGCGUGGCGCAGGCCAAGACGCGCUACUCGGUGGCCCUGCGCAACCUGGAGCAGAUCAGCGAGCAGAUCCACGCCCGCCGCCUCCAGCGCCUCGUCCUCCGCCGGGCCUCCCCCGUCGGGGCCGAGGCCGGCGAGGCCGGGGAGGCCGGCGAGGCCGGGCAGCGAGGGGCCGAGGGGCCCCCGGCGGACGCGCUCUCGGUGCUCAGCCUCCAGACCAUCGCCUCCGACCUGCAGAAGUUCGACUCGGUGGAGCACCUCCUCGGCCUCUCCGACGCCGCCAGCCUCAACAGCGGCGAGACGGAGGAGCGGGAGCAGCGCCGCGGAGGCCAGGGCCUCUUCAGGCACCACCGCAGCAUCAGCCUCUAGCCCCCUCUGGCCUCCUCUUCCUCCUCCGCACGGAGUCACGAGGCCGCCGCGCCCGCGGGGUAGAGGCUGGAGCCUCCUCUUCCUCCUCUAGCCUCCUCUUGCCUCCUCUUCCUCCUCCCCACGGACAGACGAGGCCGCCGCGCCCCCGGGGGUAGAGGCUGGAGCCUCCCCGGCGGACAAAAACGGGGCAACCACCCCCGCGCCCCCCCCAAAAAAAAAAGGAGGCAGCCCUGGGAGGACCCCUCAAGGCCGAGCCUCCACCCCCCCGGACAGCGGAGGCCGGCUUCGCGCAGCGGGGCGGCGAUGAGAACCGCGCCGGUUCGAGCGGCCCCCGGCGGCGCUGGGGGGGGGGCUCCCCGGCCUCCCCCCCCCCCUUUUAAUUUCGGGGGGGGGUCCCCAGGGGGGCUGCGGCCCCCCCCAGCACGAGGAGCCCCCCCCCUCGGGCGGAUUUUGGGGCGUUUUGGGGGAUUUUCCCGCCGCGGAGCGCGAGGGAAACAUUCCGCUCCAGAGUGAACGCCGCCCCCCCGCUCGCGGGCCAGUAAAUUAAAUAAAAAUUAGUAUUAAUAAUUAACGGAUCCGCCC
This 1121-nucleotide long non-coding RNA is filed under the name Anser cygnoides (Swan goose). Its description in RNAcentral is "lncRNA (ENSACDG00005015384.1)". The record is from RNAcentral. Lineage: Eukaryota; Metazoa; Chordata; Aves; Anseriformes; Anatidae.